Molecule: long non-coding RNA, 699 nt
Filed under: Equus asinus (donkey)
Lineage: Eukaryota; Metazoa; Chordata; Mammalia; Perissodactyla; Equidae
Description: lncRNA (ENSEASG00005033274.1)
Source: RNAcentral
CUGAAAGCUGCAGGCGAGACUCUACCUAGGAAAACGUCAGGCGACUUCGAGUAGGGUACAGCGCAGGACGAAGUGUGUGUCCAACGUGGACUAAAAUGUGGGAAGAGAUUCCUUUAUUAAAAAGCAGUCUACCUUCCUGGAAACAAUCCAUCACACUCCCUACGGAAGAGGAUCACACGCCCUGCGACUUCUCAACCUCUACGUGCUGAGAGACAGUCCAGGUUAAGGAACCUCUCAGGACUGCAGUCUGAAUGAGCAGAACCGAUGGCAAACGUUUCCAGAAACAAAGUCAGCUGCUGAAAUGACUACUGCACUAAUUGACUGAAUUCUUACCUUAUCCUAAGUUAGAAUACCAGAGAAUAACAAAGAAAUCCAUGAAGGUGAUCACUUGUUCCAGGCUCACAUUUGGAAAGAAGAGGUUCUGUGCAAGUCACAAACUGCAUCAUGAACUCUUUUCGGUUUGCUAUCCAAGUGUUUUCCAGAGACCGGCAGAAAAUGAGAGAUGGCCAGCAUUCCAGUUAUUCCAUAGCCUUCGAGACAAUAUCCAUGCUCAUACCUUCUCUUCUAAACAUCAAACGGGAUUAUACUGGACAGAGGGCUCUGCAACUGGCUUUUUGUUUACUUAAUAAUUGACCUUCAACCACUCUCCAGGUCAACACACAUGCGUCAACUGUGCCUUAAAAAAAUAAAAAGAUUUGU